UAUAUACUCCCUCCGUCCCAAAAUUCUUGUCUUAAAUUUGUCUAAAUACAGAUGUAUCAAGUCACGUUUUAGUAUUAGAUACAUCUGUAUCUAGACUAAUCUAAGACAAGAAUUUUGGGACGGAGGGAGUAUUAA
This is a non-coding RNA of Triticum urartu, 135 nucleotides long. The record is from Rfam. Lineage: Eukaryota; Viridiplantae; Streptophyta; Magnoliopsida; Poales; Poaceae.